Molecule: ribosomal RNA, 454 nt
Filed under: uncultured bacterium
Lineage: Bacteria
Description: bacterial SSU rRNA
Rfam family: Bacterial small subunit ribosomal RNA
Source: RNAcentral
AACGAACGCUGGCGGCAUGCCUAACACAUGCAAGUCGAACGGGUGCUUUCGGGCACUAGUGGCGCACGGGUGCGUAACGCGUGGGAAUCUGCCCUUCGGUACGGAAUAACUCGGGGAAACUCGUGCUAAUACCGUAUGAUGGCUUCGGUCCAAAGAUUUAUCGCCGAGGGAUGAGCCCGCGUGAGAUUAGGUAGUUGGUGGGGUAAAGGCCUACCAAGCCGACGAUCUCUAGCUGGUCUGAGAGGAUGAUCAGCCACACUGGGACUGAGACACGGCCCAGACUCCUACGGGAGGCAGCAGUGGGGAAUAUUGGACAAUGGGCGCAAGCCUGAUCCAGCAAUGCCGCGUGAGCGAUGAAGGCCUUAGGGUUGUAAAGCUCUUUUACCUGGGAAGAUAAUGACUGUACCGGGAGAAUAAGCCCCGGCUAACUCCGUGCCAGCAGCCGCGGUAAAAC